UACGUAGGGUGCAAGCGUUGUCCGGAAUUAUUGGGCGUAAAGAGCUCGUAGGCGGCCUGUCGCGUCGGAUGUGAAAAUCCAGGGCUCAACCCUGGACCUGCAUUCGAUACGGGCAGACUAGAGUUCGGUAGGGGAGACUGGAAUUCCUGGUGUAGCGGUGAAAUGCGUAGAUAUCAGGAGGAACACCGGUGGCGAAGGCGCACACCUGGCCCGAUACUGACGCUGAGGCGCGAAAGCUAGGGGAGCAAACGGG
This 253-nucleotide ribosomal RNA is filed under the name uncultured bacterium. RNAcentral describes it as "partial 16S ribosomal RNA". It matches the Rfam family "Bacterial small subunit ribosomal RNA", at positions 524 to 776 of the family's 1533-position model. The record is from RNAcentral.